CCUACGGGUGGCAGCAGUGGGGAAUAUUGGACAAUGGGGGCAACCCUGAUCCAGCCAUGCCGCGUGUGUGAAGAAGGCCCUCGGGUUGUAAAGCACUUUCAGUGAGGAAGAACGCCUGUUGGUUAAUACCCAUCAGGAAAGACAUCACUCACAGAAGAAGCACCGGCUAACUCCGUGCCAGCAGCCGCGGUAAUACGGAGGGUGCGAGCGUUAAUCGGAAUUACUGGGCGUAAAGCGCGCGUAGGUGGCUUGAUAAGCCGGUUGUGAAAGCCCCGGGCUCAACCUGGGAACGGCAUCCGGAACUGUCAAGCUAGAGUGCAGGAGAGGAAGGUAGAAUUCCCGGUGUAGCGGUGAAAUGCGUAGAGAUCGGGAGGAAUACCAGUGGCGAAGGCGGCCUUCUGGACUGACACUGACACUGAGGUGCGAAAGCGUGGGUAGCAAACAGGAUUAGAUACCCUUGUAGUC
This 465-nucleotide ribosomal RNA is filed under the name Vreelandella stevensii. Its description in RNAcentral is "partial 16S ribosomal RNA". It matches the Rfam family "Bacterial small subunit ribosomal RNA", at positions 338 to 795 of the family's 1533-position model. The record is from RNAcentral. Lineage: Bacteria; Pseudomonadati; Pseudomonadota; Gammaproteobacteria; Oceanospirillales; Halomonadaceae.